GUAAAACUAAGGAUGUUGUAGACUUUGCACUGCCUGCUUCCUGGAUUUUCAGUUCUUGUUGCACCAUUAUUAAGCAGUCUCAUUGUUUUGAAGAGCAAUAAAUAUUCACAAUUAAAUCUGCUUUGCAGUUAUCUUGUUUGGGAAGUUCUUUAUGGACCACAGUUUUUCUUCAGAAAUGCUGCUGUGCAAAUAGUGUUACCUCCAAAGAUAUGUCCUCUGCC
RNAcentral lists this long non-coding RNA (221 nucleotides) under Gallus gallus (chicken). Lineage: Eukaryota; Metazoa; Chordata; Aves; Galliformes; Phasianidae. The record is from RNAcentral.